AUGGCGGAUGAAGGUACAGGAUCGCGGGGGAAGAGGGACAAGGAGAGCGUGGAAGAUCUCUUGGCCCGGCUGAACUUGCAGGAGGCAGAAGAUGAUGAAUUUGUAUGGGAAGAGGAAUUGCCAGAUCAGAUGGAACCGGCCAAGUGGUUGGCUAUAGCCAGGGUUCAUACUCUUAAAACUUUCAGCCCAAGUGCGUUGUAUGGAGACAUGUACUCGGCAUGGAACCCAGCAAGACCAGUGGUUUGGAGAAGGAUCAAUGAAAACCUCUUUACAGCACAAUUUGGAUGUUUAGCAGAUUGGAACAAGGCAAUGCUCAAGGGGCCAUGGCUUUUUAGAGGUCAUGCUGUGAUUCUGAAGGAAUACGACGGCUUUAAAAAGCCGGAAUCCAUCCAGUUAGACAGAAUUGCAGUCUGGGCGCAGAUUCAUCGACUCCCGAACAACUUCCUGAUAGAAGCAGCUGUACGGGGGAUGGCUUCACGCAUUGGUAAAGUCGAGGAGGUCCAGCUAAGGCUGCCUGCUGGUUUCUUCGGCGAGUUUGUAAGAGUUAAAAUCGGUAUUGACGCCAACGCCAAGAUAAAACGUUUUGUCACAGCAAAGAAGGGAGAUGAAAGAGUAAGGUAUCAGGUGAAAUACGAAAAGCUCCCUACGUUAUGUUUCCACUGUGGGGAGUUUGGACACUGGUAUGAGGAAUGCGGUGAUGGGGAGCACGAUGAGUCCACUUUUGAGUGGGGAGACUUUGUGCUAGCUGAUGCAGCCAGGGCAGGACAUUCAGGUCGUGGGAUAGCUGGAUCUCAGAGAGGACGGGCGACAACAGGAGGUCCGAGAGGACGAGGAAGGGGAAGAAGCACUUAUAACCCUAACCAGAGUUAG
Molecule: ribosomal RNA, 870 nt
Filed under: Triticum aestivum (bread wheat)
Lineage: Eukaryota; Viridiplantae; Streptophyta; Magnoliopsida; Poales; Poaceae
Description: partial small subunit ribosomal RNA
Source: RNAcentral